CUGAACUCGAAUGGAGGACUGAAAGAUAAUAAAUGCCAUCACACAGCAGUAUGUACAGGAAAGCGUAAAUAUUAAAUAAUGAAUCUUUAUGAUAUACCUGCAAAGUCAAAUGUAUUAUUUAACUUCAGCUCAUCACAGGCAGCCAGGCAAGAUAUGUGAUGGAGUUAGAACUGGGUCAAAGGCAUACCUGGGAAGACCUGAACAUCUCCUUCACUGAUAAGUGGCCUGGAUAUCCCAAGGAUGCCAUUCUGCAGCUGCUUAGAAGAGGAGUCAUUCAGAGCUGCAGCUUGUUGGCUGCAGAAAGCAAAUGAGAUUUGGGAGGAGAAGAAUUGAACCCCACAGCAACAGCUUGUGGUGGAGGGGAAUAGAGAACUGUCGAGCACACUGAGCAUCAACAACAGAUGGGUUUUUGUGCAAAACAUGGUGUCAUGGUUAGCCUGGGAAUGAAAAAAUGAUGGCUUUCCAUCUCUACAUCAAAGCGUUCAGGAAGAAUAGGUACAUUUUUGAUGGUUUGAACUUGUAGGUGGGGAUUGGCUCAUUUCUCCUUCCUAUCCUUCCUCCUUCCUAAAGAAACCCUUUUGCUUUUUCUCUAUUUCCUCAAGACCUUCAUCUAUGCAGAAAAUCCUUCAGCCUCUAAGAAACUGAUAUUUUGGCAACCUCCAGUCCCUAAUACUAUUCAUUACUGCCAGUUUAGCUGAGCUGAGUUUGGUGCCCUUCAAGUUCACAAGCUGAUGUUUGCAGAUUACUGUAUAGAAGCAUUGCUGGGAAACAUAGAGCAGUAGAUGGAGUGUGCUAGGUAAGCAGAAGAGAUAAGAAGUGACUGGACAAGAACCAGGCAGGUUGGAUUAUUUGGAGGAACCAGGUGUGAGAUGGCUUUUCCUUUCAGCUGCCAGAAACAAAACUGAAGACCCAGUGACUUUGUCUUAGUGCUGCUGGAAAACUCCUUACUUUGCAUAGCAUGUACAAUUCGUAGUAGAAUUCUUAAAAAAAAGAAAAAAGGUAUUUACAUACAGAAUUAUAAUGUUUUGCACAGC
RNAcentral lists this long non-coding RNA (1034 nucleotides) under Parus major (Great Tit). RNAcentral's name for it is "lncRNA (ENSPMJG00000002750.1)". Lineage: Eukaryota; Metazoa; Chordata; Aves; Passeriformes; Paridae. The record is from RNAcentral.